UUUUUCUUCCUAGAUGAUCUCACCGGAUUCGAAAUCACAUACCUUUUGGAGGUAAACUGUUAUUGCCACUGUUUUGCUGCUUAAACUAAUACAUGCAAAGGAUGAUAUAUUUUUGUACUUAGAACUUUUUAAUCAAAAUUGUUGAAUUGCAGCUCCCAGAACCAUUCAGUUUCAUUUUCACUUGGUUUGCUGCCGUGCCCCUGAUAGUUUAUUUAGCACAAUCCCUUACAAAAGUGGUUGUGAAAGACUCUUUGAUCCUAAAGGUAAAAACCCUUGUUCCAUCCCUUUCCCUUGGUACUUAUGAACUGCCCCAUAUGAAACUAAUUUUUAACUUUGCCUUACAGGGCCCUUGCCCAAACUGUGGUACUGAGAACGUCUCCUUCUUUGGCACCAUACUAUCAAUUUCCAGUGGUGGAACCACCAACACUCUUAAAUGUUCAAAGUAAGUCCACCAUUAACCAUAAUCUGUCUUUUCACCCUUCACAUUGCUGCAAAAUUUUUAAGUUCCCAACUCUUCUUUUCACUUCAGUUGUGAAACCACGUUGGAGUAUAAUGCGAAAACGAGGUUGAUUACAUUGCCAGAAGGAAGCCAAGCUUGAUUGCAGGAGAAAGUACUUCCAGAGAUCAACAUCAAGAAUGCUACUGACUCAUAAAGUUGGAGUGAAGAGUGUGAUGUAUGUUGUAAACCUAGUGGGUUAUGAUGUGCAGCUAAGUAGGAAAUUUUGAUAAGUGCUGCAUUGUAAAACAUGUAUCUGUUGUGUUUUUUUAUGUGGAACACUCUAUUUGUAAUUAAACAUGUAAUAUAUAUACAUAUUUAUACCUAAACAGGCAUGUUGACAAGAAGAGAAGAGAGCAAAAAUGUUGUGAAAAUCUUUAAAUUUAAUGAAAACCAUACUCUAUGCAAUGCUCUGAAAGAGUUUAGUUUCAUAAAAAAUCAUACAGCUGAAGUUUUCUUUUGAUUUCGUUCUUACCAUGCUGUUCAUAGUGGUAUCAUUUCUAAUUCAUAAAAUUAAUACAAUGCCGUUUGUCACACUACUCUUUUCAACAUGCAAAACAAUUCAUUUUGAUAAAUCCCAAAACAAUAGAAUUAUAGAAAAAUGAGAUGGAAAGAAUCUACAUUAAUCUAUUUUAACCAGUUUCAACAAAUUAGUUUCAUUUUUUUCACAAACAAUUUCUUAAGCUUCUAAAAGUUUUAAUAAUCUAAGUACCUUUUAAAUAUAUUGAAAAUUUGAUUAAAAUAACAUUUUUUUUACUAAACUUUGAAAAGUUACAAUUCACUCACUAAUUUUUUAUUAAAAUAACCAAACAGUCACUAACAAUAUUUUUCGUUACAAACAUAACGAAGAGCUGAAGUGACUCGUUAACUAGUCACAUUAGAUGUUAACUAGCUACGAUGGAAACCCAAUUUAAGAACCUUAACUGCUGGAAAAAGAAGAAGAAGAGAAAAAGAAGAUAAGAAAUAGAGAUACACACUUUGAUUCCACUGUAGAAACCCAGCUCAUACAGAGGACGAAACUCAACUCAGAGAUUGUAUUUGAUCGUCAGUUUUCUUGUUAGACCGUAACAAAAAAUUGGUUCGAGUGAUUAAUUUGUCACUUUUUGAUAACAUUAGUGACUGCUUUGUUAUUUUUUUCUAAAAUUUAGUGAUUGAAUUAAAAGUUUAGUGUCUAUUUUGUUAUUUUAUCAAAUUUAAGUGAUUGUUGGUAUAGUUUACCUAAAAAAUAGGUUUUAAAUAUGUUAGAGGUUACUACACUCUUUUAAAAUUUGAUUUUUGUAUUUUAAUAUUGAGAUAUUUAGUCUACAUAUUUUAUUUUAAAAUUUUGAUCAUUCAUCCAAUUUUGCAAUUUAAAAAAAGGUAAAAUAUUUUUUUAGCCUCAAUGUUUAUAGUUUUUUUUGUCAAUUUAAUUCUUAUUUUUUAAAAGCACAAAGAUUAUAAAAAGAAUUUAAAGAAAUAAAAGGUUUUUUUAUAUAUAUUUUUAGUACAAAAUCCUAAAAAAAUUAUAUAUAAUUUUCUAAAAAUCAUUUAAAAUUUUAAAAUAUAAAAAUUUCCAAAUUUAAAAAAAAAUGACAUUUACUUCUUAAAUGGUAAUAAGAUCUCUCCAAGAUCCAAAGUUUGAGCUAUUCAUUUAGUACCAUUAAAUCAAAUUUUAAUAUAACUUUUGAAUUAAAUUAAAAAUAAUAAACAAAUAGCUCAAAGUUUGGAAAGAUAUUAUUUCUAUUCAAGAAGUAAAUAACACCUUUCUUUUAAAAUAAAAUAAACUUCUUUUUUAUAUUUUUAUGAAUUUUCAAAGAACUUUUUUAUAUUUUUAUGUUCCUUUAAAAGUAAAGAACAAAUUAAUAAAUAAAAAAAAUAUAGGAGUCCAUUUCUCAUAGUUAAAUUAUAAAAAUUAAAUUUUAGAUAUAAAAAAGAGUAAAGAGAACUCUGGUAUAUUUAAACUUAAAUAAUAAUAAAUAAUAAAUAAAUGUCACAAGUCACAAUGUAUUAUAAAAUUGCUCUUGUAAUUACGUAAAAGAAACCUCACGAAACAACUCAACAAAGAUUUUUGGUUUAAUUAUGCUCCCACUCUCCAUACUUUUAGUAUAUUUGAAAUUUAAUCCUUUAAUUUUUAAUAUUGAUAAUUUAGUUUCUAUAAUCUUUUGAUUUAGUGAAGUUCAAAGGAUAGCAUCAUAAAAUGAAUUCGGUCAUGUCGAAACCAUUUUUUUGAAAAAAACAAAAAUUUUAGGUUGUCGACUUUAAAAAAUGAAAAUUGGGAGUUGGCACCAAUCUUUUAUUAAGGUGUAAUUGGGUCACCUAAAAAUGACUUUGGUCUACAAAUUUUAGAAAAACGGGCCCGGGAGUCGGUUACGUAUGAGGAAGGAUUAGCACCCUCAUUACGCCCAAAAUUUGGUACCUAGUUAAUUAAUAAAUGUCUUAAUGUCGAAAAUUUAAAAAUCUUAAUCCUUAGCAAAAACUUAAAACGUUACAUAUUAAUACCCUUAUCAUUUCAGAGAAAUAAAAUACUACACCCAAUACGUUAGGGCACGACAUUCUAAUUUUCCCCAAAAAUGAAUUUGGGCAAAAUACUAGUGCAAUAAAAAAUGUAAAAGAAUAUCCAUUUAUUCAAGAUUUAAGAAAUCGCGGCCCAAUACGUUAGGGCACAAUUCCUCUAAAAUCCCAAACUCGGAAUAUUUCCUUUAUUAUUUUUUUUAAAAAAUAUUCAUUUCGAGAAAUCAAUGCGUCACAUCCAAUACGUUAGGACACAACGUGUUGAAUUCCCAAUAAUGAGUUCUUAUUUUUUUUUUUGAUUAAAGAGAAAUACUCGAUUGUUAGAUUUUCAAAAAAAUCGGAACCCAAUACGUUAGGGCUCAAUUUCCUUGAGAAAUCCUAAAUACGAGUAUUACCUCUAUUUUGAAGCGUUUUAUUUUAAAAUUAAAUAAGAGAUAGAGUAAUGUUAUGUUGAAUAUGUGAAUGAAUGCCCCUUAAACAAAUAUCAAUAAUAAAUACAACAAUUUCAUAGAAAUAACAUGAAUAAACAAAUAAAUAAACAAAAUAAUGACGUGCAAAAUAUCAAAUAAAUAGGCAAGAUAAUAAUAAAAAUAUGCAAACAUAAAUUAAUAAGCGAAUAAAAAUAUACCUGUACACAUAAAAAAAAUACAUAAGUUUUAAACAAUUAAUAUAAUAUUAAAAUUAAUUAAAUAAAUUAAACAUGUGUAUGUAAAAUAUAAGUAUGCGAAAAUUUUAGUAUAAAAAAAACAUAAAUACAUGCUUAAAUAUACAUAUAAAAAAUAAUAAUAAUUGCAUAUGAGAAUUAUAAAAUAAAAAUUAAAAGAAUACAAUUGCAUUAUCAAAAAUAUUGAUUUUUAAAGAAAAUAUGAAAAUGGACUAAAUUGGAUCGCCAGUAAAGAUUCGGGGUAAAUUCGUAAAUAAAUAAAGUCUGGAGGACUUAAUUGAACACUCGAAUUACAUAGAGGGGCUGGAAAGGCAAAUUUCCCUUCUCCUCUAAACGACGCCGUUCAAAUUAGACCAAAUUGAAAUAAAAAUAAAUAAAAGGGUAAAUUAAAAAAAAAAAAAAACUUAAUUACAAAAACAUUAAAAGGCGGAGGGGUUAAAUAAAAUUCGCAGUGGUAUCACCUUCUCCCUUUUUUUUAAAAUCGUAAAUAAGUAAAAAAUAAUCAAAAGAAAAAAAUAGUAAGCCACCUUUAAAAAACUGCCAAUCGUUCUCUUUUUUUAUUCCUCCUUUUUUUUUACAAUGAAGGGAGAGGCCUCUAUUUAUAGUUGAGCCUCUCCAAAUCCAACGGUACAAACCAAUUAUAUCAAUGGCUGAGAUUAAAGGGUAUCUACAAAUUAAAUCUCUAAUAUUACAAAAUCAUAUCUUCUAAGAUUACAUAUCAUAUCUAAGAUUAUAUAUCAUAUCUAAGAUUAUAUAUCAUAUCUAAGAUUAUAUAUCAUAUCUAAGAUUGCAUAUCCCUGAAGAUUAUGUUUCCAUAAGCUUGUAGAUAGACCUUCAACAUUUUCAAGUAAUGGGCAAUUCCGAUCGGGCCAAAUGAUAUUACUUUGGGUUUUUUUUUUGUGAGCCGGGGCUAAAAUUGGGUAUUACAGCUGCCCCUCUUUUCUCGUUGUCGUGUAACAGGAACGAAGCAAAGACUUUAGAAAUGGCCAAUUUUUGCCCAGUCACGCUGGAUCUUAAUGCUCUUCUUCUUCAAGCAGCCACAUUCCAUCCUACUGCAUCUUCAAAUGUAUAAGAAUUGGUGCUUCAAUCUACUCCACUGCAAUAUCAAGGAGAUAGGACUUACAAUCUUCAACCUAUUCCACUGCUGACCAGGGAGAUAUGAUUACUGGCUUCAAUGUACUCCACUGUAACCACAGGGAGGUAAAAUCCGCCAUAUUCGAUCUGCUCCACUACUGCUUAGGGAGAUAAGAUCUGAAAUCUUCAAUCUAUUCCACUGUUGUCCAGGGAAGUAGAAUUACCGGCUUCAAUGUACUCCACUAUAAUCAUAGAGAGGUUAAAUCUACCAUCUUCGAUCUGCUCCACUACUGCUUAGGGAGAUAAGAUCUGAAAUCUUCAAUCUAUUCCACUGUUGUCCAGGGAAGUAGAAUUACUGGCUUCACUGUACUCCACUAUAACCACAGGGAGGUAAAAUCCGUCAUCGUCGAUCUGCUCCACUACUGCUUAGGGAGAUAAGACCUGAAAUCUUCAAUCUAUUCCACUGUUGUCCAGGGAAGUAGAAUUACUGGCUUUAAUGUACUCCACUGUAACCACAGGGAGGUAAAAUCUGUCAUCUUCGAUCUGCUCCACUACUGCUUAGGGAGAUAAGAUCUGAAAUCUUCAAUCUAUUCCACUGUUGUUCAGGGAAGUAGAAUUACUAGCUUCAAUGUACUCCACUGUAACCACAGGGAGGUAAAAUCCGCCAUCUUCGAUCUGCUCCACUACUGCUUAGGGAGAUAGGAUCUAAAAUCUUCAAUCUAUUCCACUGUUGUCCAGGGAAGUAGAAUUAUUGGCUUCAAUGUACUCCACUAUAACCACGGGGAGGUAAAAUCUGCCAUCUUUGAUCUGCUCCACUACUGCUUAGGGAGAUAAGAUCUGAAAUCUUCAAUCUAUUCCACUGUUGUCCAGGGAAGUAGAAUUACUGGCUUCAAUGUACUCCACUGUAACCACAGGGAGGUAAAAUCCGCCAUCUUCGAUCUGCUUCGCUGUCAAUGCAGGAAGGCAAGAUCUGUUAUCCUUAACCUGCUCUACUACAACCGAGGAAAGCAAGGCUUUGUUUUCGAUCUGCUUCGCUGUCGAUGCAGGAAGGCAAGAUCUACUAUUUUCACUGAUCUAUUCUCUGGGGAACAUGACCUGUAUAAUGAACCUAAUUAUGCCUAAUGAUUAGGAUGGCAUGAUCAAAAUGCACCAAAUGCUCCUAACUAGACAUGUGUGAAUAGCGUUUGCAUGAAUGCAAAAUUUUAUUUUUCUAAGAAUGAUCCUGCUUAGGUUGUCAUUACUCGAAGUUUAUUAAGGCUUUGUGACUGGCAUGCUACAACGCCUUCUUGCAUGACUGGCUUUUCUAAAGAAACAUUUAGCCAGGUUGCCCCCCACUGUGAACCUCCAAGUUUAAUCCAUUGGGGCGCAAAAAUUCAUACCAUCGUUCUCCCACUGUAACCCAAGAGUAUAUGGCUUUUCUUCAAUCCUCUCCUAUCACAAUUCAAGGAUACAGGAUCUAAAUCUUUCUAGUCUCUUACACCAUUCCCAGGGUGUCGUACCAAAGGCUCAUGUACAAAUGAAGGCUCUCUUCCUGAGGCAACCUCUUUCUAUUGCCUGGUGAUCAUUACUUGCUUGUUGAUUUAGGCUUUGUCAUCAACACGAAAUCUUAUUAUUUUGUUCAACCAAUGUUUUUGACAACAAAAUCCAAAGCGAAAGUCCUAGUUUAGACUCUUCCUUUUCAGAUUUCCAAACUUUAAACCUGGUGCGUUCUAAAUAAUAGUCCUGUUUCAGGCUCUUGUAUUAUUUAGAAACUUCUAGAUUAAUAUGCAAAACUUUCCUUGUGAAAGUUUUAUUAGUCCAUUGAUCAUUAUUCCAAUGCAACAUGCUUACAAAAAGGUCAUAACAAGGGAUAAGAAUAAAUUAUAGUAAAAAAAGAUAACAAAGAAAUUGAUUGGGAAUGUGUAUAUUUGAAAAGAAUGAAGUAUUCCAAGAAUAACAAAUUCAAUAGUAUGAAAAUUGGGUGCCCCAGAUAUCGCAACUUGAACUUCUCUGUACAAACUUUUUGAAGAUCCUUUUGAGUUUGACAUGUGUUUAGGAGAUCCACAGUACUCUGCUAAUGCCCCAAGAUUUUGCCUACUCUUUCCUGUUGAUUCAGAUAUAACUAUAUCACCACAUGCCCCAAUCUGAUCAAGAUUCGAGUUGCUCUGAUCACCUCAUGCCCCAUUUUGAUCAAUAUUUGAGCCGCCCUUUUCGGGUUUUCAACUCAAAUCCCCUUUGGUCUCAAAGCGUCCUUUGCAGAUUUUCACCUUGGCAUCUCCUUUUUUUUUGAAAUAUUUUUUAUUGAAUCUGAACUCGUAAGAUUAGGCAUGUUCUUGUUAUCCCUUCUGAUCAAAGUCGAUGCUUUUCCGGAUAAGGCUUUCCACAUAAGGUCCUUCCUAGCUUGGGAUGAAGUUCUUUUUGUAUGGGAAGGAUCUUCUUCAAUACCAGGUCCCUCUCAAGGAAUUCUUUAGGGCGGACCUUUUUUGUGAGCUCGCAUCAUUUACUUUUGGCGCAUUUGACCAUGACGGAUAACUUUGAACAUUCUUCCUCAAUCGGUAUUAGAUCCAAAAACUCAGAGAGAAAGAAUCUUGUCUUCAAUAGCAAAACCGCAAUGGACCUAAGAGAAAGACAUUGCCCUGGUAGAUUUUUUUUUAUUUUUUUGUCAUCCCCUUUUUGGCGAUAUGGCAUUAAUCAUGAACAGACUGCAAACUUUUGAUAUUGUGUUGUUGUUUAGUACAUUGUCAGAUAUGAUCCUUUUGGUGUUCCAUACUGAUUCUUCACGAAUUUGCUAACUGUCGACUUUGUGACAUUGACAUAUGAAGCAGCUUCCACCCAUUUAGUAAAGUAAUUGACGACCACAAAGAUGAAUCAAUGAUCGUCAGACUCUUUUGGCUAGAUUGACCAAAUGACCUUUAUACCCCACGUAUGGAGAAGUCAAGUAUCCCAAUGAUUCUUUGUAGGGUAAGAUCUGUUUCUCAACUUGUUCUGCCAUCCUUAACAGGUCCGAAAAUAGGCUACAAUCUAUGCCAUCUUCAAAGUCAUGAGAUCCCUCUAAACACAUGUCUCGCUCAAAAGGAGAUUCUGAGUCUGUAGUAGCGUCACUCAUGUCGUUGAUAUCUAGGAACCCAUAGUAAGUUCCAAAGAAUAUACAAAGAAUGUGCGAAUUUAUGAAUAAUUAUUUGUACAAUAUAAUUAUGAAUGAGAGAAUAAUGUGGAAGAAAAUCCAAAAGAAUGAAAGAAUAAAAAUGUGGAAGAAAAUCCAAAAGAAUGAAAGAAUAAAAAGAAUAAAAAAGUAUGAAUGCAAAGAUGUAUUUUAUUAGAAUAAUGACGUUUAGACAUGAGCCUAUUUCGCAAAGGAAUUUUUAUCAUUUUUAGGCUAAAAACAACAAAAUUGUUCUGAACAUUACUCUAAAUAAACUCUAAAAACUACAGAGAUUUCUUCCGCAGUUCAAUUACGUAGAACACCUCUAAGUUGAUAAGGGCGAAUAUCUUCAAGGUUUCUUGUAAAUUUUGUCUUCAAAUAUGGCAUUGAUGUGUACGCCUCUCAACACUUCUUCAUACAUCACAUUCAUCCCCAUUAUCAAAUGUGAUUGGGUAGCGGAUUUCCUUCACUAGAUGAGUCAUCAAACUUGACAACAUUCAGGUUGAUGAGUCUUUCAACUAGCUUUUUGAAGGUAGUGCAAUUCUCUUAUUGAAUGCCCCGUAACUCCCGCAUGAUAAUCGCAUUUUACACUUGCGUCAUACCAUUUGGGAUACGGAGGCUGUGGAAGCUUCACAUGAAAAGGAGAAACAACAUGUGCAUCAAACAAUUUUUGAUACAUCUCCUUAUACGAUAUUGGAAUUGGCGUGAACUGGAGCUUCUCAGUGUCUUGCUUCACACUUGAUUCUUGUCUUAAUGAACCCUGCUGAUUAGUAACCACCUUUCUCGGUUGAUUUACCGUAAUCGAUUUGCUGUACGUAUUCACGCAGUUCACCUUAUUUUUUUUCCCUUUGAGGCUUGCCUUCUGUUAUUUCUUCCAACAUCAAUCUUUCCACUUCUGAUAGUAUUUUCUACCAUUUCACCAUUCAUGAUUAUGUCAGAAAAUCUUUUUAUGGCGCUUUCCAACAUAUGUGUGAUGAAUGGAGCCUUCAAUGUGUUAACGAAAAGCAUUGCCAUUUCCUUUUCCAAAAGCGGUGGCUAAACUUGGACGGCGACCUCCCUCCAUCUCUGUUCGUAUUGCCUAAAACUUUUGCCAGGCUUCUUCUUCAUGUUCUGAAGAGUAAUUCUAUCAGGUACCGUGUCAGUCACAUGGCUAUACUGUUUUAAGAACGCCUGUGCUAGAUCUCUCUAUGAAUUAAUCUGGGUACGGCUCAAUUGAUUGUACCACUUGGAUGCUACCCCUGCGAGGCUAUCCUGGAAACAAUGUAUCAGCAGUUGGUCAUUAUUAACAUACCCAGUCAUCCGUCUGCAAAACAUAGUAACAUGAACUUCGGGGCUACUAGUUCCAUUGUACUUCUCAAACUCAGGCAUUUUGAAUUUAUAAGGGAGUACUAAAUCCGGAACCAAGCUCAAUUCUUUAGCGUCAAUUCCAUGGUAGCCCUUAGUACUUUCCAUCGCUCUAAGUUUUUCCUCCAGCCAUUUGUACUUUUCUUCGAGCUGUUUCGACAAUUCACCAUUCAUUUUCUCAACUGUCUCAUCGAAGUCAGGGAUAGCGGGAUUAGCAAGGUUGUCUCCAGGGUUAGAGCCUAAUCUAGCUCAAAAGUUCAUUGCUGUUACAUCAUCGGCCUGAAACUACUGAGGCUUGAUGGUGACAGAGGACUUGUACGGAUGUACCUCAACUUGCUGAGGGGUAAAGCCUAGAGGAUAGACAGGUCCCUCAUUGUCUAUUUCUUCAACAUUGAGUACAGAGCCUUUUCCUUUAUUAGUUCCCUUGUUCAACCAUUGAGUUAACUGAGCCAUCAUACUCCCUUGAGAUUCCAUCAUUUUGUCUAUCAUUUUUUGUUGCUCAUUCAUUUGUUGUUGAAGUUGCUCCUGCAUUUCCUUUUGGAACUGUUCUAGCCUUUCCAUCCUUUGAUCCAUGUCCUUAGUUUUUGAUCGAGUACCGUAGUGGUGUUUAGUAGGCUGGUUGGUUUCCAGAUUAACUGAGGAAUGAUUUAUAUCAAUUAGAAUCUUUUAGUGGACUUUAAUGCUUAUGAUAUCAUGUAAUGCGAAUGCAUGAAAUGAAUGUAUAAAGAGACGUUGAUUCUGAUUCAAUUCCAUUUAGAGAACUUUACUAGAAAACAAAUCUUUUUACAUAAAAUGAAUAUUUAUACGGCCUUGCCCUCAUAGGCGAAGACAUUCGAUCCUCUUCUUCAUUCAAGCGUUAAGAUAACUCUCACGAACUUUUCAAAAAGGACGUCUCUUCUAUCUCCUUUUUGCUCGAUCCGGGUCGCAAUUCGUUGCUCACUCAUCCUCGUGAUGCUCGUUGGCUUCUCUUUAAGAAAGUUCAGUGGCUCUCAAAUAAUCUUUAUCAUCUUGAAUCCUUGGGUAACGGAGCCAUAGUCGUGUAGUCCUCCAUUAAAUUAUCAUCAUUCUCUUAUCACGUGUUCUUGGACCAUAUUCAGACAACCAUAUUGUCAUCCACUUUAUCAAGAAACCUAUUUUCUUAUGACAAGCUCUCUAUUUAACAACUGAACGUGAAUCAACACCUCUUUUUUAUGAUGAAAUGAAAUAUCAUGUCAUGCAAUCAAAAUAAAACACAAAAGGUCAGUAACAUAUAUAAACACAGAAAAUAUCAAGAAAUAGUAAAACAUCUAUUCGGAUAUCUACCAGGGUUUAGUGCGGUUCUACCUAAGGUAAGCUCCUAAGGCUCAUUAUAUGCGGUUCGGUUCUAAAGUAAAGGUACCCGAACUAGCAGAUUCCUCAAUCCUCACCCAUUAUAGGCUCAUAUGGAUCGAGUUCGGUUCAAGGGAAUACAUUUCCUUAUGGCUGCACGGAGAUGAAAAUCUCACGAAGACAUAGGUACGGAUGUAUCCCGGAAGCAAUCCACUACCCUACACGGAGGUGAAAACCUCACGAAGGCAUAGCUUCUUACUCCCACUUAAAAGGGUAAAAUUGUUCAGCUCAUGAAAUGUAUAAUGCAAACAAUAUUUAAACAAGAAGAUAAUGAAGGAUGUCAUGAGUUUUUUAUAAAAAAUAUUUUCUCGACUAUAAGACAAUAAUUAAUCAACUUUGUGGCUCGACUCUCUUAUUUUUUUUAAAAAAAACGUCCCCAGCGCAGUCGCCAAGCUGUCGAAACUAUUUUUUUGAAAAAAACAAAAAAUUUAGGUUGUCGACUUUAAAAAAUGAAAAUUGGAAGUCGGCACCAAUCUUUUAUUAAGGUGUAAUUGGGUCACCUAAAAAUGACUUUGGUCUACAAAUUUUAGAAAAACGGGUCCGGGAGUCGGUUACGUAUGAGGAAGGAUUAGCACCCUCAUUACGCCCAAAAUUUGGUACCUAGUUAAUUAAUAAAUGUCUUAAUGUCGAAAAUUUAAAAAUCUUAAUCCUUAGCAAAAACUUAAAACGUUACGUAUUAAUACCCUUAUCAUUUCAGAGAAAUAAAAUACCACACCCAAUAUGUUAGGGCACGACAUUCUAAUUUUCCCCAAAAACGAAUUUGGGCAAAAUACUAGUGCAAUAAAAAAUGUAAAAGAAUAUCCAUUUAUUCAAGAUUUAAGAAAUCGCGGCUCAAUACGUUAGGGCACAAUUCCUCUAAAAUCCCAAACUCGGAAUAUUCCCUUUAUUAUUUUUAAAAAAAAUAUUCAUUUCAAGAAAUCAAUGCGUCACAUCCAAUACGUUAGGACACAACGUGUUGAAUUCCCAAUAAUGAGUUCUUAUUUUUUUUGAUUAAAGAGAAAUACUCGAUUGUUAGAUUUUCAAAAAAAUCGGAACCCAAUACGUUAGGGCUCAAUUUCCUUGAGAAAUCCUAAAUACGAGUAUUACCUCUAUUUUGAAGCGUUUUAUUUUAAAAUUAAAUAAGAGAUAGGGUAAUGUUAUGUUGAAUAUGUGAAUGAAUGCCCCUUAAACAAAUAUCAAUAAUAAAUACAACAAUUUCAUAGAAAUAACAUGAAUAAACAAAUAAAUAAACAAAAUAAUGACGUACAAAAUAUCAAAUAAAUAGGCAAGAUAAUAAUAAAAAUAUGCAAACAUAAAUUAAUAAGCGAAUAAAAAAUAUACCUGUACACAUAAAAAAAUACAUAAGUUUUAAAUAAUUAAUAUAAUAUUAAAAUUAAUUAAAUAAAUUAAACAUGUGUAUAUAAAAUAUAAGUAUGCUAAAAUUUUAGUAUAAAAAAAACAUAAAUACAUGCUUAAAUAUACAUAUAAAAAUAAUAAUAAUUGCAUAUGAGAAUUAUAAAAUAAAAAUUAAAAGAAUACAAUUGCAUUAUCAAAAAUAUUGAUUUUUAAAGAAAAUAUGAGAAUGGACUAAAUUGGAUCGCCAGUAAAGAUUCGGGGUAAAUUCACAAAUAAAUAAAGUCUGGAGGACUUAAUUGAACGCUCGAAUUACAUAGAGGGGCUAGAAGGGAAAUUUUCCCUUCUCUAAACGACGCCGUUCAAAUUAGACCAAAUUGAAAUAAAAAUAAAUAAAAGGGUAAAUUAAAAAAAUAAAAAAAACUUAAUUACAAAAACAUUAAAAGGCGGAGGGGCUAAAUAAAAUAAAUAAAAUUCGCAAUGGUAUCACCUUCUCCCUUUUUUUAAAAUCGUAAAUAAGUAAAAAAUAAUCAAAAGAAAAAAAAUAGUAAGCCACUUUUAAAAAACUGUCAAUCGUUCUUUUUUUUUAUUCCUCUUUGUUUUUUUACAAUGAAGGGAGAGGCCUCUAUUUAUAGUUGAGUCUCCCCAAAUCCAACAGUACAAAUCAAUUACAUCAACGGCUGAGAUUAAAGGGUAUCUACAAAUUAAAUCUCUAAGAUUACAAAAUCAUAUCUUCUAAGAUUGCAUAUCAUAUCUAAGAUUGUAUAUCCCUGAAGAUUAUGUUUCCAUAAGCUUGUAGAUCGACCUUCAACCUUUUCAAGUAAUGGACAAUUCCGAUCGGGUCAAAUGAUAUUACUUUGAGUUUUUCUUUUUUUGUGAGCUCGGGCUAAAAUUAGGUAUUACAUGUCAAUAUUAAACUUGUUGAAGACUAAAUAAGCAAAAAAAAAAAGAGGUUAAAUAUGAAUUUGUAAAGUUUCUAAUUAUGAAGAUGAGGUUAUAAGGAUCUUUAGCAUUGUUUUAAAGAAGCAAAGUAAAAGUUAAUAUAUUUUUUCUUACAUGGCUUUCGCGCGACCAAACCAGCUUUUUUUUUUCGUUUUAAAAAGUUCAAAUCAUUUAAUUUGCGAAAUUUACUGAUCGGAGUUAUAAACUAAAAUUUAAUUACAAAAUAAAAAAUUAGAGAGACUAAAUUUUUGAAAUUAAAAGUAGGGAAUAAAUUUUAGAUGUGCAGGGAUCGAGAGCAGAAUAAAAUCUUUAAAAAAAAAAACAAUAUCACAGUGGUCAACUUUCCUUCUAUCAUUGAUCAUCUAAUUAACCUACUAGAGCACGAAAUAGAAGCUGCCCCCACGUUGAAGAUCAUUAAAAAACAAUAUCAAAGGAUAGAAGAAGCAUUACAUCCGAUCCAUUUCCAAAAAGAGAAUUUGCGUUUGACUUAAGACAAUUUAUCUUCGUGAGUGUCACGAAGGCAUGAAAGUUGGUUUUUGCCUUUGAUCCUUGUGCUAAACGUUGGUAUAUAAAGGAAACACAUACAUAUACAAUAGUCAUCAAGCACUCUUCUAAUUUGUUUUAGAACUCGUCUCCAAGGGAAAAAUAAACCAUGACUUCUUUUGAUCCAUGGAGUUUCAACUUCUUUUCGAUGACGCUUGCAACGUUGGCCAUCAUCGUCAGCAAAUCUUUAGUCACUGUUGCAUUACCAAUCGAGUUCCGGCCAAGCCCUUGGUCUCUUGCCCAUGCCACCUUUUAUGGCGACGAAACCGCCUCCGAGACGCUGGGUAUGUUCAUCAUAUAAUCAUCUUCAUAAUGGCUAGUUAUUGAUGAGUGCAUAUUUUCACUUGUUAUGGUGACAGGAGGAGCUUGUGGUUAUGGGAAUUUGUUUAGCAAUGGUUAUGGUACGGACACAGCUGCUCUAAGUACAACGUUGUUCAACAAUGGUUUUGCUUGUGGGACAUGUUACCAGAUAAAGUGUGUUGAGUCAACUUGGUGCUACCCUGGGGUUCCAUUCACCACAGUGACUGCUACCAAUCUUUGCCCUCCAAAUUGGGCCCAAGACUCCAACUACGGUGGCUGGUGCAACCCUCCACGAGUCCACUUCGACAUGUCCAAGCCCGCUUUUAUGAAAAUUGCACAAUGGAAAGCUGGCAUUGUCCCUGUCAUGUAUAGAAGGUAUAUUUAAAAUUUCAGUUUGAUUAUUCAACAUGAAUUUACAUAUGAAGAAGGACGUUAUGAACCAUGAUCAACUUGGAUUCCAAUGGUUGCAGGGUUCCAUGUGUAAGGCCGGGGGGCCUUCGAUUUUAUUUCCAAGGAAAUGGGUACUGGUUGUUGAUAUACGUGAUGAAUGUAGGAGGCGGGGGUGACAUUGCCCAAAUGUGGGUUAAAGGAAGCAAAACAGGGUGGAUUAGCAUGAGCCAUAACUGGGGAGCUACAUAUCAGGCAUUUGCAACUCUUGGAGGCCAAUCUCUUUCCUUUAAGAUCACUUCAUACACAUCCAAGGAGACUAUCAUUGCCUGGGAUGUUGCACCUGCUAAUUGGAAUGAAGGAUCCACUUACACCACAGAUGUGAACUUCCAUUAAUCCACAAAUUCACAAUACCUCUUUUUGUUUUUUAGCUUGCCCUUUUUUUCUAGCCUCUAUUUUCAUUUGUACUUUCUACAGCAUAGGCAACUGAGUAGCUCCAUGGUUCAAUUUUUUCUUUUACAUGUAAAAACUAUUUCUGCAGAUAAAUUGUAUUUUGAUAAAUAUCUGCUAAGAUUGAAAUAAAGAAAUCAAAAGAUUUGCUAUUAUAAUUCAUGUCUUAGGCCUGAGCUAUAAACCUAGAUUAACCAAGCAUGAAGCCAUGUGUGCUUGGGGACCUAAUGAGAGAGGUAAAAAGAAAUGGAAUGGGAUGUCAUAUGGAUAGCUAGCAUGAGACCCACAAAUUUAUUAAGAGUGGGAAACAUGUUAAAAACACAACAUGAGUAGUGAGCCCCCUAAAGAAGGAAAUGUACCCUCAUUUCAAUCACACAGCACGCCACCUUCCUUUUAUAAAUUGCUUUUUUGAUAUGAGGGGUCAUCAUCAUCAACCCACCCCCCAAAUCAUUUCUCCCAAUCUCGUCAAAAGUUUUCUUCCCAUGCCACAAACCCAUAAAGGCAAAUUUAUUAAUGUAUAUUCCAAAAUCACUAUGUCGCCAGUCUAAAAGCAAAUUACGUAGCGGUGGCUAUUGCUUGUUAUAAACUCAAAAGCCCUACUAAAAUCAUAUAAUAUUCAGUAAUUUUCUAUGUGGAUCGUAUAUGGGUUGAUAGCAAAGAACAAGGGGAAAUCCCAUGCCCCCACAUCAUCUACAAGAGUCAAUGCUGCAAUGUUACAGCUAUGUCACUUAGAUUCUACCUUGGACACCCCUAUAUUGCAAAAAGGCAAACAAACAACAACUUUCUUUUCCCUUCAAUUCAAAGCCUUUAUCAUCUAUAAUCUUCCCAAAACACUACAAACAUUUCCUCUUUGCAACAUCAGAACUUGUCACAUCUAGAAGAGAUCCUAAGAUCCCUCUCAUGGGCUUUGAUCUUUUCUCUUUCAUAUUCAUAAUAUUUUCAUGGGCAUCAUUUCUCUCAAUGAAAGCUGAAGCUGAAGCUGAAGCUGAAGGGAUUAAAUCAGCUCGCCUUCUUGAUCUUCUCAUUAGGGACUACACUGUGAAGUCUCUUGACAGGGACUUGAGAACAGGUAUUGUACACACUGUAACUUUACCUGCAAAUUUCUCUGGCAUCAAAGUGGAUACAGUAAGGUUCAGAUGUGGAAGUCUUCACAGAUAUGGUGCUCAGGUUAAGGAAUUUCAUCUGGGAAGUGGUGUGAUUGUGCAGCCUUGUGCAGAGAGAGUGAUGGUAGUAAGACAAAACUUGGGUUAUAAUUGGUCAUCCAUCUAUUAUGCUAACUAUGAUCUAUCAGGUUACCAGCUGGUGUCACCUAUACUAGGCCUCCUCGCUUAUAAUGCUGACAGUGAUCUGAGUUAUGGUAGCCCUUUUGAGCUUGGGAUUCUUGCCAGGGAAAAACCAAUUAAAAUAGAUUUCAGCAACAUUACAAAGGCAUCCAACAAGACAGGAAACUGGCCAUUAUGCGCUAGUUUUGAAGGAAAUGGCAAAGUAACAUUGAAGAAGCAAGUAUCACCCAAUGUUUGUGUUGCAACCAAGCAUGGCCAUUUCGGUUUGGUAAUGGAAUCACCACCACCGUCGUUGCCAGUGAGGAAGAAGAUCAGCAGAUGGAAACUGGUGGUGGGAAGCUCGGUGGGAGCUGCUUUGGGUGCUUUCCUCUUAGGGUUGCUUUUAGUGGCAAUGUUUGUUAAAGUGAAGAAGAAAGCAAGAAUGGAGGAAUUGGUGAGAAGAGCGUAUGAAGAGGAAGCUCUUCAAGUUUCCAUGGUUGGACAUGUAAGGGCUCGAACAACACCUACAAUCUAACAUGAUCUUUGAGUAUCUACGAUCAUUCUUUUGGAAAGGUUAGCUCUAUUUGUACCUGAAAUAGAAAAACAAAAUCCAACCAAAUAUUCUUAUGUUCAAUAUCCAGAAACAAAACAACUCUGUUUUUCAAAGGAUAUGUUGGUUCACUUCAUUAUUCAGUCAGUGUCUAGGAAAAUGACAACCCUGUCCAGGAUAUGUUCUUUUUUUUACAUUUCUUACUAAAGGAUUCAGCAUUCUAUAUCUUGUUUAUUUGAAAUUUCGGAUUUCAAAUAGCAUAAAGGGGAAGGGUUUUUCUUUUCUUUUUGGUGUACAAUACGAUAAGUUAGUCAAAAAGCCAUGACCAUGAGCUUUAAGUAUUUUCUGAAAAUGAUUGUAACUUUCACUGACAAUUAAAGGACAAAAGAAACCCAAAGUGCCCCAUUAACCCCUCAUCCAUCCCCACCCCCAUCAACAUGCUUGAGAUCAGAUCAACAAAACAAGAAAAAAGUUUGCAUGUAAAACAUUGGAUACUGCUUUUUUUUUUUUUAAGAAGAUAAGUUAUUGGCUGAGAGAAGAGACUCUUUGAUUGAUAGGUGUGGCAAAGUUUGAACGCAAAGACUACAUGCUUUGCAAAUCCUUUUUCUCCUUUGUGUAUCAAAAGUCAAAACAUAAUUAUCAGCCAAAAACCCUUGAAAUUUAAGCCUUAGGGUGUAUGGACCACAAUUCGUUGGCUUCCAUAUUAUAUAACAAGAGAUUUUCAGCUUCUAAUGCUUUUAAUGAAUUCAAAUGUUAGAUAUAACAGACUAAUAUAUGAAUUAAAAAAAAAAGUAUUCUCGUGCAAUUGAAAAGGAAAAACAAUUAUUUCCCUCAGUUAAGAUAGAAAAUAGGUCUUGGCUAUGCCAGCCAAAAGUGGGACCUUUAAUUCAUGGAUGUUAUAAUUAACCUCCAUUUCUUUUUCUUAUAUUAUGGCCUAUAGCUUCUAUUGUUACAAAGAAUGCAAAUUCUGGAUAAAACAAAUUGUAUAUAAACCUAAAUCCGUUGAAUAAAAUAAAUUAAUUGAGUUAGAAUUUCUUAUGCAGUAUGUUUAUACUUUUUCGGCUAUGGAUCAGGUUUAGUGAUGAAUUUGGGUGUUCUCGAGCUCUUGCAAGACGAGCAUAAGCUAAAGGGUGCUGAAGCUUGUGCUUGGGAAUAAUGCUUAAGUCGGUCUCAAAGCUUUGAAAUAGAGAAAUCAAGGGAUAAAGUUGAAAAUAAUGAAUAAGAGAUGAAGAUAAGACAUGUGAAGGUGGAGAUGAAAGACCCCCGUGACCUAAUGAUGACCUAAAAAAAGCUUGGACAUCAUUUUCUUUGCGAAAUAUGUAAAAGUAAAAGCUAACUUGUUUGGCUUGAUGGUAUUCUCCGAGGGACUAGGCUCUAUCAAGUGUGUGGGAGCUAAAGAAAUAAGAGUGAAUAAGGUGAAAGGUUUGCUACUAACAAGUAGGCGUUUACUGCUAAGAAGCGGAAAUUGUCGAGGAAGAGAAGUUUGCUGUUGAAAAUCAGUUGUUGAGGAGUUUAUUAGAUGACUGAGAUUUUUCUUAGAUAUUCUAAAAGUGUAUGUCAAUCUUUUUGAUAUUUUAGCUUGACAGAGCAAUUAUAAGCAGUUAAGCAUGAUACACCUAAUGUGUCAGUUUGUAUUUGGUUAGGUGAUACAAUCUUUUUGAUGUAAUACUUGCUGAAGUUUUAGGGUAUGAUUAACCACUGCAACAGCAGUAGUCUUUUGUAUAUUAUACACCAAAAUCUUAAUGAAAGAUAGACUAUUCAGUUGUAAAAUUUUUCCGGUGUUGUUUUCUUUUCCAACUCUCUCUUUUAUUCUGUUCCAUAACUUAACUUGGUAUUAGAGCUUAAAAAAAUUAACUUUGAGGGAUUGUGUGUGAGCUGAAAAAUUAGAAAAAAAAAUCUUCUUCUUCUACACAAAAAAACUUUUUAGAACCUGAUAUGACUUCCAGCAACUUUGCACCCCCAAAUCCUCAUAUAUUCACAAGAGAAAACUACCCUAUUUGGACAGUGAAGAUAAAGGCAUACCUGAGGGCUUUUGACCUGGGGGAUGCUGUAGAAACAAGUAGAGAUGUGCCUCCAUUGAGAGCAAAUCCAACUAUUUCUCAAAUCAAGCAACAUAAUGAGGAGGUAACUAAGAAAUACAAGGCUCUCUCUUGCAUUCACUCUGCUAUAACAGAUGUGAUUUUUACAAGGAUAAUGACCUGUGAAACUGCAAAUGAAGCAUAGGACAAGCUCAAGGAAGAGUUCCAAGGAAGUGACGGAACAAGGCAGAUUCAAGUGCUGAAUUUGUGGAAAAAGUUCGAGGUUCUAAAGAUGAAAGAGUCAGAGAUUGUUAAGGAGAAUUCUAACAGGCUUAUGAAUGUCGUAAACCAAAUUAGGUUACACGGGGAGGAGUUGCUAGACAAGAGGAUAGUUGAAAAGGUGCUGGUUAGUGUUCCAGAGAGGUUUGAGUCAAAAAUUUCAUCUCUAGAAGACUCAAAAGACAUCUCAAAACUUACCUUGAUAGAAGUUGUAAAUGCUCUUCAAGCUUUGGAGCAUAGAAGGGCUAUUAGGCUUGAGGAGUCAACCAAAUGAGCUUUUCAAGCAAAAUUCAAAGACAAACAUGGUCAUAACAAUUUUGGAAAAAAAUAAUCUGGUGAAAGAAAAAAUAAAGAGAAAAAAGGAGAUGACCACAAAUGGGAAAGCAAAAAAAAGAAGGUAUCCACCUUGUUCUUAUUGCAAGAAAAGAAAUCAUAUUGAAAAGUUUUGCUGGUUUAGACUAGGGGUAAAAUGUAGAGCUUGUAAUCAACUUGGAUAUAUAGAUAAGGUUUGUAAAAACAAAGCAAAUCAAAAGGGCCAAGCUCAGGCUGAUGAAAAGCUCAAGCAAGAAGAAUAAAUUCUGUUCAUUGCUACUUGUUAUGUUGUAAAUAGUGGAAUAGAAACAUGGCUGGUGGAUAGUGGAUGCACCAAUCAUAUGACUCAUGAUGCAAGCCUUUUUAAGGAGUUAGACAAGUCCUAUGUCUUUAAGGUGAAGAUUAGAAAUGGAGAGCUUGUGGAUGUCAAAGGAAAAUGAAUGAUUGAAGUUGAAACUUCUUUAGGUACAAAGUUUAUUUCUGAUGUUUUUCUUAUACCUGAUAUAAGCCAAAGCUUAUUGAGUGUGGGACAAAUGUUAGAAAAGAACUAUAUUUUGCACUUUCAAAAUAUGUCAUGUUUCAUUUUUUAUCCUACUAGUUCUAAUUUGAUGACAGUCAAAAUGAAGAACAAAAGUUUUCCAAUAGAAUGGAAACAAUCAUAUUUGAAUGCUUAUGCUAGUGUAGUGGAUGAUUCUAUCUUAUAGCAUAAAAGACUUGGGCAUUAUAAUAAUUCAGCCUUGAGAUAUAUGCAUACAAAUAAACUUGGUUAAAAAUCAACCUGUUAUCUAUGAUAAAGUUGAUGUAUGUGUUGUAUGUCAAUUUGGAAAGCAAGCUCAAGAGCUACAGAGAAGCUACAACUAGUUCACACAGAUAUGUGUGGACCUAUGAGUACUCCAUCUCUUAAUGGAAGCAGGUACUUUUUCUUAUUUGUGGAUGACUACACUAGAAUAUGCUGGGCAUAUUUUCUCAAAAAAAAAUAGAAGUAUUAGACGCAUUCCUAAGGUUCAAGAGCAUGGUCGAAGUUAAAUCGAGCCGUCUAAUGAAGAAAUUGAGAUCUAAUAAUGGGACUGAGUACAACUUAAUGGAAUUUGCUCGGUUCUGUCAACAAGUUACAAUUCAACAAUAACUGACUAUCCCUUACACUUCUUAACAAAAUGGAGUGAGUGAAAGGAAAAACAGAACAAUCAUAGAGAUGGCUUGAUGUUUUCAGUUUGAAAAAGAUCUUCCAAAAGUAUUUUGGGUUGAGGUUGUGAACACCUCAGUAUACUUGCUGAAUUUGUUACCUACAAGAACCUUAGUUGGAAAAACUCCUCAUGAAGCAUGGCAUAGUGUAAAGCCUUCAAUUGAACAUCUUAGAUUUUCGGGAUGUGUUUGUUUUUCUUUUGUGCCAGAAGUAAAGAGAGGCAAGCUUGAUAAAAGGGCUGAAGUUGCAGUAUUUUUGGGUUAUAGUACCAACUCCAAAGGCUACAAGUUGUACUAUGUGUCUACCAAGAAAGUGUUUGUUAGCACAAAUGUCAAGUUUGACGAGCAUGCAAAGUGGAAUUGGGAGAAAAAUGAAAUUACAGCACAAACACCAAUUGUUGUGUCUCAAGAACAAAUUUCAAAAUCUGAAACUGAUACAGAAUUUGUAGUUAGGGGCACUGGAUCAUUAGAUGAGGUUUAUACUAGGUGCAAUGUGGCUACAUUAGAACUUACAAGCUAUGAAGAAGCUGCUAAGCAUGAUGAAUGGAGAGCAACAAUGAUUAAUGAGAUCAAAAUAAUUGAGAAAAACUCAACUUGGCAGCUUGUUGACCGGCCAAAUAAUUUCAAGGUGGUUGGUGUUAAGUGGGUCUAUAGAACCAAAUUAAAUCCAGAUGGUUCUAUGAACAAACAUAAGGCUAGAUUGGUGGUGAAAGGAUAUUCUCAGCAACAAGGAAUUGAUUUUUCAAACACUUUUGCUACUGUGGCGGGGAAUGACACUAUAAGACUUUUACUAGCCUUAACAGCAAUGAAAAGCUGAAAAGUUUAUCACAUUGAUGUAAAGUCAGCAUUCUUAAAUGAUUUGCUUGAGAACGAGAUAUUUAUGGAACAACCAGAAGGUUUUCAAGGUUUAGAAAAUGAAGGCAAGGUGUAUAAGCUUCACAAAGUUUUUUAUGGGCCGAAAUAGGCUCCUAGAUCCUGGUAUAGCAGAAUUUACUCCUAUUUGCUACAAUAAGGGUUUAUAAGGAGCGAAAGUGAAGCUGCAUUGUAUGUUAAAAAGCUUGAUGAUGAGAAGCAACUUAUUGUUUCAUUGUAUAUUGAUGAUUUGUUUGUUAAGGGAGAUAAUGAAGUGUUUAUAGAACAGUUCAAACAAAGAAUGAAAAGUAUGUUUGAAAUGUCUAAUUUGGGUGAUAUGAAGUAUUUAAUUGGGAUGAAAAUUCACCAAUCUGAUGCUAGUAUUUUUAUUUCUCAAAGAAAGUAUGCUCUGGAAGUUUUGAAGAAGUUCAAAAUAGAAAAUUGCAAACCAGUAGCUACUCCGCUGGUUUUGAAUGAAAAGUUGUCUAAGUCAGAUAAUUCUGAAAAGGCUGAUGCUUUUGUUUACGGAAGUUUGAUAGGGAACUUGUUAUAUUUUUCUGCUACUAGGCCAGAUAUAAUGUAUGAUGCAAGCUUACUAUCUAGAUUCAUGCAAGCUCCUAGUCAGACUCAUUAUGGUACAAAUAAAAGGGUUAUGAGAUACAUUAAAGGUAUAUUUAACUAUGGCAUAUGGUAUUUGAAGAAUGAUAGUUGCAAGCUUGAAAGUUAUGCUAACAAUGAUUGGGUUGGAAAUGUAGAUGACUGCAAAAACGCCUCGGGUUUUGUUUUUUCUUUUGGAAGUGGUACAUUUGCAUGGAAUUCAAAGAAGCAAGAUAUGGUGGCUUAAUCCUCAACUGAAGUUGAGUAUGUCUCUACUGCAGUAGUAGCUAAUCAAACCAUUUGGCUUAGAAAGAUCUUGGCUGACUUGGAACAAAAUAUUAAUAAAGCUACUGCAAUUUGGGUGGAUAAUAAAUCUGCUAUAGCUAUCAUCAAAAAUCCAGUCCAAUAUGAAAGAACUAAGCAUAUUAAUGUGACAUUUCAUGCUAUCAGAGAAGCUGAAAGACUUGAAGAAAUUAGUGUGAGAUAUUGCAAAUCUGAAGAUCAAGUUGUAGAUGUUCUGACUAAGGCUAUCUCAAGGCCUAAAUUUGAGUUUCUAAGAACAAAGCUUGGAGUCUCCCAGAAAAAUCUCAAAGAGGAGUAUUAGAUGAGAUUUUUCUUAGAUAUUCUAAAAGUGUAUGUCAACCUUUUUUAUAUUUUAGCUUGACAGAGCAAUUAUAAGCAGUCAAGCAUGAUACACCUAAUGUGUCAGUUUGUAUUUGAUUAGGAUACAUUUUUUAUGUAAUACUUGCUGAAGUUUUAGGAUAUGAUUAACCACUGCAAUAGUAGUAGCCUUUUGUAUAUUAUGCACCAAAAUCUUAAUGAAAGAUACACUAUUUAGUUUUAAAAUUUUUCUGGUUUUGUUUUCUUUUCCAACUCUCUCUUUUAUUCUGUUUCAUAACUUAAUAGAGUUAGAGCUUGUUGUUGGAGAGUAACUACUAAGAAGUUAUAGCUUGUUGCUAAGGAGAAGCUUGUGAGGAAAGAAAAGUUUAUUUCUAAUGCUCAACUGUUGAAGAGAUAAAGCUUACUGCUGAGGAAUCUUAAAGGAUUGGGCUCUAUCACAUAGCAUGGGAGCAAGAAAAAUGAGAAUCAAGUUAUACCAUGUGGCGUGGGAGCAAGAGAAAUGAGAUUCAAGUUAUUUAACUUGAUGGUAUUCCCUAAGGGUGGGAGUAAGAGAAAUAAGAGUUAAGUUAUUUGACUUGAUAAUAUCCCCUGAGGGAUUGAACUCUACCACAUGGCUUGGGAGCAAGAGAAAUUAGAAUCAAGUUAUUUGACUUGAUGGCAUUUCUUGAAAGACUUAACGGUAUCUCUUAAAAGACUAAACUUUACCAUAUGGCAUUAGAGCAAAAGAAAUGAGAGUUAAUUUAUUUGACUUGAUGGUAUUCCUUUAGAGAGUAGACUCUAUCACAUGACGUGGAGCAAAUUUGAGAAAGUAAUUACUUGGAGCAAAAUUUUGCUAUUGAAAAAAAAAACAUGUUGCUAAGAGAAAUAAGUAUAUUAUCAAUGAAGAGACAUUUGUCUGUAAGAAGGAGGAGGAGUUUAUUUGAACAUCACUAAGCAUUUUUGAAUGCUUAGUUUAUUGAUAUUUCUAUCCAUCCGUACGUUGAGGAACUAUUGGGAGAUAGUUGUUGAACUUAUAUUACCGGAGUCACUACUAAGGCCUUUGUUCUAUUAGGCUAAGUUGCCCGUAGCCUAGUUGAGAGCCCAUUGGAGGCCUCCCCUAAGCUCUUCCUUAAGCACCGCUUAAGACUCCUCUCUACCUAAUGUAAGUGCAUAUACGGGACUAUUGAUGUGUAACACCCCAAUAUCUGACCUGAUCGUUGGGUCUGAGUUACGAGAUGUCACAUCCUUUGCCAUAGCAACUCUGAUUAAAGCACGAACAAUUCAUAGCAUUCAAUAAUUAAAAUUCAGUUAAAACAUACAUUCAACAUGAAAUAAAGUCAAUUUCGGGUCUUAAACAAGCUUACGUAAGCUUUAGAGCUAAUCCAAGCUAGAAAUGAAACCUAAUUGUAAAGAAUUCAAAAUGCAGGAUCAACAUCGUGAUGUCUUCCUUUCCACGACAUGACGACGCCAAACAGUUUAUCAUGUCACAACGUCAAGCCGCUCAACGUCGUAACAUCACUUACUGUAAUGGCCUUGUCAAGACAACAAGUCUCUCGUCACACCGUGACCCUAUGGGUCACUUACUGUAAUAGAUGAUUAUGUACACCAGAUUAUAAUUCUGGAAGAUUAGUAGUCGAAGUAAAUAAUUUGUGUCCUAUGCUCAUUGGUAUAACCGAAGAAAAAAUUUGCCCAUCACUCAUCGAGUCGUAGCCAAAAUAACUCGUACUCGAUCUAUCCUAUGGCAUGUCAACUUAAGUAGCCUUUCUCUUGAACUGAAGCUCUAAUACCACUUGUCAGAACAAUUGGAAGAGAAAAUGUCGCGACCAAUUUUCAAUUAAAAUAAAAAAUUAGCUUGUCAAAAUUUUAAAAGAAUAAAAACUUUGGUUUUGAAAAAUAUGAUGUUUCAUUUAAAGAACGAAGAGUCGCCACUAAUUUUUGUUACUAGGUAUGAUCAAUUACAUAUAAAAUUAUCCUUUUGAAAAAAAAAGAAUUUUUUUUGAAGAAAGACAAUUUUACAUUUGUGUUGGAAUAUAGAAAAGGAAUUUGAAUUCAAGAAUCAGUUACGCACAAGGAAAGUUUUAACACCCUUGUAACGUCCAAAAUUGAUGCAUAGUUAAAUGUGUGUUUUCUAAAAUUCAAAUAUUAAUAUUUAAUGGUGAUGGCUGAGUCGAAAGGUGUAAUCGUGAAGCAUCAAGAUUGAAGGUAAUGGAAUUGUUUUCUUUGUUGAAAUAGUUUUCUUAAGAAAAAUUGAUAAUAACAUUGAAAAUACUUAUUAGGAUUUUAAAACAAAAACACUAAAUCAAACCCAUCAUGAUAAAAUAAUUUUUUUUCUGUUGAAAUAGUUUUCUUAAGAAAAAUUGAUGACAGUAAUUUGAUUGAAAUAGUUAACAAUAUUAAUUAUUUAGACUGAUUAAUGACAUUAUAAAAACAAAGGGACCAAAUUACAUUAAAAUUAAAGUAGAUAGCUUAAACCUUAAGUUUUAGCAUGGUUUAGGGGCCAAAAUUGAAAUUUGAACGUUAACAAAAAAAAAAACCUAAAAAAUGCAAAACUACUUAUUAGUCUAUAAGACUUUUACUGUGUGUUUGGUUCAGUGUAAUAGGUAAUCCAUUACGCCCCGAUUACGCGUCUAUUACAUUACUGACCCAUUCCGGCGUUUGGUUUGCUGUAAUAGGUAUUACGCGCGUAUUACAAUCCCGACCUAAUCCCCAAAUUCCAUGUUUUUCUAUUUCUUUCCCAAAUCGAGGAUUACCCAUUACGUCCGGCUUCCCUUCCCAACUCUCUGUUUUACCCUCAUUCCCCACCCGACCCUCUCCUUUUUCUGUCCUCAUCAUUUCUCCUCGUCUGCCUUUACCGAUUCUCUCUAUCGAUCAUUUUUUCCCUUUCAUUUGUUGCAGCACGUUUGAAAGCCACUGCUUCAUUUUUUUCUCUCGGUCUCAGCGUGAGGUAUGAAUCUUGAACUUUUCAUUUUAGUUUUCUGUCUUUGGCUUGGAUUGUGGCUGCUUUGCAUGCUGAUUUGUCUGUCUUUUCAUUUCUUCAUUUUUUCUAUCGGUCUCUGUUUUCGCCGGCUUCACUGUCUUAGAUCUUCAGUUCAACUAAUAGGCAGAGUCUCUUUUUGAACUGAUUGCUUCACUUCAUCAUCCCCAAAUUUCAGGUGGUAUUUCUAUUAUACGGAUGUGUAUAUAUUAUUAUAUAUUAUUUUCGUUUGGAUGCUUUUGAUUGACAUGCAAACGGGUCAAUGUAAUUAGGUGAUUUUCGGUACUCAUGAAACUGUUUGAUUUUUUAAAACUGUGAUAAAUAAAUAAAUAAAAAGGUUGUUGAAUGCUGUGUUUGACUGGCCUUUUAUGCGCAAUCUUAUAAGCUAUACAUUUGGUGAGUGGUUGAUCUGUUUGAUAGAGUGAUUUAACUUGGAUAUUUGUGCUUCGUUUUACUGGGGAGAGUUUAUUGAAUAGAAUUUCUCAUAAUAUAUCGAUUUUAAGUAGUAGGGGAACUGUUAGGUAUUUAAAGCGGGUGAAAUUGUAGAUUUGGGUAUUUUCGUUUUAUGAAAAGUUGUUGUGGCUAAAAGCCUUACCAAACUUUGUUUCCAAUGAUUUCAAGUUGAUUGUGAGCAAUACUGCCUGUGGUUUCUUUUGAUGUUUGCGCAUGCCAGGCUGCAUUUUGAUAACCCAAUGAAAGUUUAACUCAACUCACCUCUCAUUUCAUAGGAUAUUAUGUUUGAGAAUGAAAUGCCGCAAUUUCAUGAGUUUAUGGAAUUGAUCUCAUAUGCAUACUUGGAAUAGUUUUUUUUUUUAUUUCCUUUCAUUUCUUUCUGCUCUUAUGCAAAACAAAUGGGAGUUUGCUUUAUAGCAUGUUAUUUGAUUCAAGGACAAAUAUUAUAUAACAAGAUAUGUUAUCUGGUUUGCCAGACUAAAGAAAUGCUCCACAUGGACACAAUGAAAAGACUUCCAGUUCUGUAAUAUCUGGACUACAAACUAGCAGAUUGUGAAAAAACUAAAUGCAUUUUACUUCUGCAGUUUUUCCUGGAAAUUGCUUUCAUCUAUCUAACCUAAUAUUUGUGCUCUGUGUAUUUGCAUUUUGUUUGUUUUGCGGUUUCUAUACAAGAAAUCUGUUUUUCUUUUUUGAUAUUUGUACUCACAGAUAUUCUUCCUUGAAUUCCUAGAUUUGGAUCUUGCAAAUUAGAGAUAAUUCGCAAGAGGAACUAUGAGUUGCUUUGGCUGUUGUGAAGAGGAUGGCAUCUUGUGACAAAAUUUGCAAAGUUCUGGAUAUUUAUGAGGAGAGGCUGUCAAAGAACAAGUACUUGGCUGGUGAUUUCUUCAGCCUUGUUGACCUGAGCCACCUGCCAUUUACUCAGUACUUGGUGGGUCAAAUGGGAAAGGAAUACAUGAAAACCAGCAGGAAGCAUGUGAGUGCUUGGUGGGAUGAUAUUAGCAGCAGACCGUCCUGGCAGAAUGUUCUCCAGCUCUAUGCUCCUCCUUUCUAAGAAUUGAAAAUGAUGCAAUCUGGGGAUGGGGUCUUUUUAAUGAUGUAUGCUUUGUUGUUUAGCAGUUUGGUUUGGUUUGGGGUCUGGUCUUUGACUGUUUUAAGAGGCCAACUAGUUAUCCUAUGUUAGUUAUACUU
This 26778-nucleotide long non-coding RNA is filed under the name Gossypium barbadense (sea-island cotton). RNAcentral's name for it is "long non-coding RNA (GBAR_LNC018788)". Lineage: Eukaryota; Viridiplantae; Streptophyta; Magnoliopsida; Malvales; Malvaceae. The record is from RNAcentral.